Molecule: unclassified non-coding RNA, 306 nt
Filed under: uncultured Epichloe
Lineage: Eukaryota; Fungi; Ascomycota; Sordariomycetes; Hypocreales; Clavicipitaceae
Description: sequence contains ITS1
Rfam family: 5.8S ribosomal RNA (bases 1-105)
Source: RNAcentral
GAAAUGCGAUAAGUAAUGUGAAUUGCAGAAUUCAGUGAAUCAUCGAAUCUUUGAACGCACAUUGCGCCCGCCAGCAUUCUGGCGGGCAUGCCUGUUCGAGCGUCAUUUCAACCCUCAAGCCCUAUCGUGCUUGGUGUUGGGGCUCCUGCGCGCGCCGUAGGUCCCCGAAUCGCAGUGGCGGGCCCGAGGCGGUUCCGGGCGUAGUAGAUUACGCCGCCCUGGAGCCGCGGCGGGUGCCGGCCGUUAAAAAACGUUUUUAACCCAAAGGUUGACCUCGGAUCAGGUAGGAAUACCCGCUGAACUUAA